AUUGAACGCUGGCGGCAUGCCUUACACAUGCAAGUCGAACGGCAGCACGGGUGCUUGCACCUGGUGGCGAGUGGCGAACGGGUGAGUAAUACAUCGGAACAUGUCCUGUAGUGGGGGAUAGCCCGGCGAAAGCCGGAUUAAUACCGCAUACGAUCUACGGCUGAAAGCGGGGGCCCUUCGGGCCUCGCGCUUUCGGGUUGGCCGAUGGCUGAUUAGCUAGUUGGUGGGGUAAAGGCCUACCAAGGCGACGAUCAGUAGCUGGUCUGAGAGGACGACCAGCCACACUGGGACUGAGACACGGCCCAGACUCCUACGGGAGGCAGCAGUGGGGAAUUUUGGACAAUGGGCGAAAGCCUGAUCCAGCAAUGCCGCGUGUGUGAAGAAGGCCUUCGGGUUGUAAAGCACUUUUGUCCGGAAAGAAAUCCUUGGCCCUAAUACGGUCGGGGGAUGACGGUACCGGAAGAAUAAGCACCGGCUAACUACGUG
RNAcentral lists this ribosomal RNA (486 nucleotides) under uncultured bacterium. RNAcentral describes it as "partial 16S ribosomal RNA". It matches the Rfam family "Bacterial small subunit ribosomal RNA", at positions 30 to 507 of the family's 1533-position model. The record is from RNAcentral.